RNAcentral lists this ribosomal RNA (312 nucleotides) under uncultured Coprococcus sp. Its description in RNAcentral is "bacterial SSU rRNA". It matches the Rfam family "Bacterial small subunit ribosomal RNA", at positions 28 to 339 of the family's 1533-position model. Lineage: Bacteria; Bacillati; Bacillota; Clostridia; Lachnospirales; Lachnospiraceae. The record is from RNAcentral.
GAUGAACGCUGGCGGCGUGCCUAACACAUGCAAGUCGAACGAGCUGAUUCCCUUCGGGGAUGACGCGAGUGGCGGACGGGUGAGUAACGCGUGGGUAACCUGCCCUGUACAGGGGGAUAACAGUUGGAAACGACUGCUAAUACCGCAUAAGCGCACGAGAGGACAUCCUCUUGUGUGAAAAACUCCGGUGGUACAGGAUGGGCCCGCGUCUGAUUAGAUAGUUGGCGGGGUAACGGCCCACCAAGGCGACGAUCGGUAGCCGGCCUGAGAGGGUGAUCGGCCACAUUGGGACUGAGAUACGGCCCAGACUCC